UACGUAGGUGGCGAGCGUUGUCCGGAAUUAUUGGGCGUGAAGCGCGCGCAGGUGGAAUCUUAAGUCUGUUUUGAAAGUUCGGAGCUUAACUCCGUGAUGGGAUGGAAACUGGGAUUCUUGAGUACCGGAGAGGAAAGCGGAAUUCCCCGUGUAGCGGUGAAAUGCGUAGAUAUGGGGAGGAACACCAGUGGCGAAGGCGGCUUUCUGGACGGUGUCUGACACUGAGGCGCGAAAGCCAGGGGAGCGAACGGGAUUAGAGACCCCGGUAGUCCUGGCCGUAAACGAUGGGUACUAGGUGUGGGGGGUGUCAACUCCUCCCGUGCCGGCGCUAACGCAAUAAGUACCCCGCCUGGGGAGUACGGCCGCAAGGUUGAA
Molecule: ribosomal RNA, 375 nt
Filed under: uncultured bacterium
Lineage: Bacteria
Description: bacterial SSU rRNA
Rfam family: Bacterial small subunit ribosomal RNA
Source: RNAcentral